GAUUAUUAGAGUGUAAAAGUUUAGGAAGAAUGGUUGCUGAAUUUCUUAGUUAUGGAGAUAGAGGUAAAAGUGGUAUGAAUUUAGAUAUUUUUGUCUGAAUAACCAUUAAGUUACUGGCCACAAAACAUUAUGCAUAUAUUUUUGCACUUUGAUCUCCAUCCUAAGUGUUUACAUGAAGUGAUACUUAAUUAUUUGACUUUUACCUCAUCCUUAGAAGUGAAUUAGAACAUAUAGUGGUCCAUGUUUUAAUAGAAUGUUCCAGGAUAAUGCUUAUGUUUUAGGGUUCUUCUUUCAGAAGGUAAUUAAAACUGAAGGAAGGUAUUUUCAUAAAAACAAAACAUUGUAGAAAAGCUAAUAAUGUUUAUUAAUUCUGCUUAUUUACUUAGUAGAAUAUGUUUCUGUUGCAUUUGUUAAGAAAAUAAUUUCUUAGAGACCCAGAUAUGAAAUGACCAAAUUUUUAUGAUCAUACUAAGGCAGAGCACACAUUGGAGUAGAACCCAAACAUCAGAGCUCUCUAGCUGAGCAUUUGUCCUUACUUUAGACAGAUAAAUUUGAAGGAGAUGGCAGGGAACCUAGAAGCUGAGUUGAUCAACAGGAUGGUGGAU
RNAcentral lists this long non-coding RNA (605 nucleotides) under Marmota monax (woodchuck). Lineage: Eukaryota; Metazoa; Chordata; Mammalia; Rodentia; Sciuridae. The record is from RNAcentral.